Molecule: long non-coding RNA, 2915 nt
Organism: Rhododendron vialii
Lineage: Eukaryota; Viridiplantae; Streptophyta; Magnoliopsida; Ericales; Ericaceae
Exons: 4
Source: RefSeq, a predicted model, not a curated record
UGGAAUAUCUCUGAGUGUUUCGAUAAGUGUCCGUAUAGGUGAAUUUGGAAGUCUUAUUGCCCAGUAUAGUUGUUGGAUCUUUGGUUGUGGUCGGUUCUGUCACAAUAGUGAUAUGAGCAUAGUCGUUAAAACCUACAAUCCUACAAUUUGUAUAAACCUACGAUCCUACAAUUCGAAGUGAAGAUCAAGAUCGGACCUUGCUGUUGAUUGAUGGGAUUUAAAUUGACAAUCUCUGUAACUCUUAUACGGAAAAAGAACUAAUGUCUCUUGCCCAAAUAUGGCUAGAUGGAAAUGAGACUUUUCAAACACAAUUGAUAGGGAUGGCAAUAUGGCACCUAUCAACAUGGCUAAUGGAUUUUUUUUUGAAAACUCAGAACCACAAUGGGAUGAGAUUCUGGAGAUUAUCAAGAUUAGAAUCGCUUUUUGGGUGAAAACGAAGUGAGAAACGAAUGACUUUUUUUUUAGGUAAGGGGGAACGAAUGACUUUAGCAUCAAUGACUUCAUCUAUAAGCUUAAGGCAACAAAUGAAUCUCUCUACUGGAGUUGGAGGGUAUGCUGUUGAAGUUGCAAGGCUUCGAUCAAGAGACUUUAUUGGUGUGUGUUGUGUAGCAGUGUGUGUGUGUGUGUGUUGUGCAUCAGUGAGUGUGACUGAAUGCGUGUGUGUUAUUUGUGGGUGCAUGUCUGUCUCAAUCUGUAAUUGAUCAUGAUUAGGGGAGUGUUGAGUUGUUUGUUAGCUUGAUUUGUCUGUUAAUGUUAUUUCAUUUCCAAGGCUCCUUAGAUCAAAUUAGGAGGUCUUAUGGCUCACUGAUUCUCAACUGCUGCUGCUGUUAUGUUACUGCUGCUGUGGAAAUCUGAAAUUCUGAUUUUUGCUAUUUUGGAUUUGGCUUGGAUAUCUUAUGGUAGUCUACUAUACCUCUUAGAGGCUUUCAAGCUAAGAAGGAAAUGGAGUGUUGCUAUUGUCAAAUCACUUCAUGAUACUCCAUUGCUGACAUUACUCCAUUCAACUUGUUACUGCUACACUACUGAGAAGCUUGAAGAUUUUAUAAUACAAGAAGUCUUACUUCUUCACAUCUCAGGAUCGGAACCUCCUGCAACGAUCAAGUGAUUCAUGCUUGUCCGGGGGUCUCAACGUAUUGUUUUGGAAGUUUCACAUUCCUUGUCUUACUCAGAGAGAACAAUUCUCACUUACAUAUAUAUUAGUUUUUGUUUUUUUUUGUUUCCUGUUUUUGUACAGAAACCAUGGCUCAACAUAAAUUUGAAAAUAUUUAGAGAUUUUUGUAUCACAUAGGGGUUCAAGAUUUCACCCUUGUGCUCACAGAAUUCCGAUAUUCUUUUCGCAUUAGGUACCACAUAUCAGAGCUUCUGCUGCUGAGGAUGCUGUUACGGCAAUCUGAGAUGAGUAUCAAUUUUUAAGAGAGAUAUUUGACGACUAUGAUACUGAAAUUUACGAGUUGGGAUCUUCCCCCCCAGCAUGACAAGAAAGAGAGAGCCCUCCCAGUUGAUAGUUCAGAGAUAGGAGGGAAAACCCACUGAAUCAGAGUCUCAGGGAAGAUUCACCAUAAAGAAUGCUUUACCUCUGACCGUCUGAUAUAUCAAAUGAGAGCUGCAACAGCAACAGCUCUUGGUGGUGCUGCUGCUCGUGCCAAGCUAUUGGCCGAUCAAGAAGACAGGGAAAUACAGUGUUUAGUUGCAACCAUUAUCGAAAGAUGUACAGAAUCUGUAGUAAAUUUCCUAUCGAAUUACUGUUUCUGCUGAUUCAGAGUUGUUUCUCUUCUAACAGCAGAACAAAGGGUUUAUUCAUCUUCGAACUACUGGAGUUCACUCUUCUGUCUCUCUCACUCAGCCUAGGCAGAUGCAGAACUUCCCUCUGGAACCCUUUACGCAAGUCGCACUAAGGUACUUCUCCUGCAAUGCUUUCUUGCAUUCGGCAACGCACUGAGAAAGAGUGCAUGGAUUGAGUUGAAUCCCAAAUGCACACUCAACGUGUUCUGGUGCAAGAACCAUGAACCAGAGCACCACCGUUGCCAACACCAGAACACACCGGUUCCCUGCCUUGACUUCCAUCGAUGGGCUAAGUUUCUUUGUUUUCAGCAACCCAAAUCUUUACGCCUUGAAGAAACGCAAUAAGGUCUGCACUUUUUUAUAUAAAGAGAUUGCUGGCCCUUAAUAGUUUCCCCACUAGCUGGAGAACUAUAUCACUUAUAUCAAAUUAGAUUGUGAGCCCAUUCACUACUUGUAUAUACUAUUAUAUAACCAUAUUCUGUGAGUUGGUUGCUUCCACGUACAUCCAACAAUCCUCCAUGGUUACUGGCUACUGAAUAUCAAUCAAUUAGAGACCAGCAGGUGGUAAUUACAGCAAGUCUGUGCAUUUCCAAACGCAAAUCCUCCAUCCAGUCUUCCUUACGACACUUGACGCGUUGACUUUGUUUCAGACACCGGAGUCGUAUGGUUACCGUUUCUAAUCAUUGAGAUCUGAAUCGGUACAUAAGCGUAGCGUUCAACACUUGACACGAUAACAAGAGAUUCAAGACGAUAAACAAGUGUUACAGGCCGCACCCGGUCUUGUGCCGUGGGUUCUCCUUUCACUCCUAUGUACUGUUGCAGUUAGGACUCUUGCAUAGUGGGUACAAAACGUAGAUACAACAGAAAUGUUAUGAUACAUGACACUCGAAACAUGAAAAUAUCUAUGAAAGAAAACGGGCGAUCCAGAUUUACAGAUACAAAUUUCCAAGUUUGUGUAAUGUUGAAUGUGGGGUGAUGAAAUCCCAUUUGGAGAAAAAAUUUGUAAAUAAUUGUGUUUGGACCCUUUGAUUCAUGCCAUCCAGAAGAGCUUGUUUAGUGGUUAAUAAUACCCACACUCACACACAUGCACCAUGACAAAGCAUGUAGGGACCUAUAAAUACUAAAUGGAAUUG